GCAAACUUGGUCAUUUAGAGGAAGUAAAAGUCGUAACAAGGUCUCCGUAGGUGAACCUGCGGAGGGAUCAUUAAUAGUACGGCCGCCGUGGAGAAAUCCGCGGGGGAUCGGUAUUACAACCCUUUGUGAACCAAACUUUGUUGCUUCGGGGGCGGCCGUCCACUAUCCCGCGAGGGAUGUAUGGCGGCGCCCCCGGUGGCCAUCAAUUAAACUCUGCAUCUCUUUGCGUCGGAGUCUUGAAUAGAAUUCAAACAAAACUUUCAACAACGGAUCUCUUGGUUCUGGCAUCGAUGAAGAACGCAGC
This 304-nucleotide unclassified non-coding RNA is filed under the name uncultured fungus. RNAcentral describes it as "partial contains small subunit ribosomal RNA, internal transcribed spacer 1, and 5.8S ribosomal RNA". The stretch from base 1 to 73 matches the Rfam family "Eukaryotic small subunit ribosomal RNA", at positions 1759 to 1831 of the family's 1831-position model. The record is from RNAcentral. Lineage: Eukaryota; Fungi.